Molecule: ribosomal RNA, 500 nt
Filed under: uncultured Glomeromycotina
Lineage: Eukaryota; Fungi; Glomeromycota
Description: partial small subunit ribosomal RNA
Rfam family: Eukaryotic small subunit ribosomal RNA
Source: RNAcentral
CCAAUAGCGUAUAUUAAAGUUGUUGCAGUUAAAAAGCUCGUAGUUGAAUUUCGGGGUUAGUAGGUUGGUCAUGCCUCUGGUAUGUACUGGUCUCACUGAUUCCUCCUUCCUGAUGAUCCGUAAUGCCAUUUAUUUGGUGUUGCGGGGAAUUUGGACUGUUACUUUGAAAAAAUUAGAGUGUUUAAAGCAAGCUAACGCUUGAAUACAUUAGCAUGGAAUAAUGAAAUAGGACGUUCGAUCCUAUUUUGUUGGUUUCUAGGAUUGACGUAAUGAUUAAUAGGGAUAGUUGGGGGCAUUAGUAUUCAAUGGUCAGAGGUGAAAUUCUUGGAUUUAUUGAAGACUAACUACUGCGAAAGCAUUUGCCAAGGAUGUUUUCAUUAAUCAAGAACGAAAGUUAGGGGAUCGAAGACGAUCAGAUACCGUCGUAGUCUUAACCAUAAACUAUGCCGACUAGGGAUCGGAUGAUGUUAAUUUUUUAAUGACUCAUUCGGCGCCUUACG